UCCAGACUCCUACGGGAGGCAGCAGUGGGGGAUAUUGCACAAUGGGGGGAACCCUGAUGCAGCGACGCCGCGUGGGUGAAGAAGCGCCUCGGCGCGUAAAGCCCUGUCAGCAGGGAAGAAAAUGACGGUACCUGAAGAAUAAGCUCCGGCUAACUACGUGCCAGCAGCCGCGGUAAUACGUAGGGAGCAAGCGUUAUCCGGAUUUACUGGGUGUAAAGGGCGUGUAGGCGGGCCUGCAAGUCAGAAGUGAAAUCUGGGGGCUUAACCCCCAAACUGCUUUUGAAACUGUGGGUCUUGAGUGAUGGAGAGGCAGGCGGAAUUCCCAGUGUAGCGGUGAAAUGCGUAGAUAUUGGGAGGAACACCAGUGGCGAAGGCGGCCUGCUGGACAUUAACUGACGCCGAGGCGCGAAAGCGUGGGGAGCAAACAGGAUUAGAUACCCCCGUAA
This 446-nucleotide ribosomal RNA is filed under the name uncultured bacterium. RNAcentral's name for it is "partial 16S ribosomal RNA". It matches the Rfam family "Bacterial small subunit ribosomal RNA", at positions 330 to 793 of the family's 1533-position model. The record is from RNAcentral.